AUGGCACAUCCAUGGCAGUUCUCAAGGCCAUUGGUUAUGAUUUUGACAGCGAUGACUACCACAGAUUUGUUCAUGGGAGAUUGCCAUACGAGAGGCUAAAGCCUGACCAUGUUCUAAGAAGUCUUUUGCUAAGGCUGCCUUCUUAUUUAAUACAAGUAGAUAAUCAACUACAAAGUAAGAUUUCUUAGUUCCGAUGAUGAUUUUGAUUUCUGGGUUUUAUGUAAUAGAUAUUCUCAAAUGCCGAUCAAGCACAUGUGGCUAAAGUUCUCAGCAGUUCAAGCUUUGAGGCCCUAAUAAUCCCUUUAAUUACGAGGACAUCAAUUCUUGUGAUGAAAUUGGAGUUCGGCUAUACAUCCGAAGCCAAAUUCUUGACAUCAUUGAACAUCUUUGUCAAUCUAAUCCUGUUUGAGUACUUCAAAAAAAUCCAGUUGUCUGCAAACCUUUUGAAGAUGCAUUUGAGCAGGCCUUUAAGCUGGCUAACAUCAAUCCUCGAAAAACAUGCAAGUACCAUUUCAAAAGUACUCAGAAAUUCAGAUGAUGUCGGGUAUGAUUUUUUGUCUUGAAGGAGAGUUAUAAACAUGUUUAGU
Molecule: long non-coding RNA, 587 nt
Organism: Populus euphratica (Euphrates poplar)
Lineage: Eukaryota; Viridiplantae; Streptophyta; Magnoliopsida; Malpighiales; Salicaceae
Exons: 3
Source: RefSeq, a predicted model, not a curated record